Molecule: ribosomal RNA, 652 nt
Filed under: uncultured Methanosaeta sp.
Lineage: Archaea; Methanobacteriati; Methanobacteriota; Methanomicrobia; Methanotrichales; Methanotrichaceae
Description: bacterial SSU rRNA
Rfam family: Archaeal small subunit ribosomal RNA
Source: RNAcentral
UUCUGUUUGAUCCCGGCGGAGGUUACUGCUAUCGAGGUUCGACUAAGCCAUGCGAGUCGAAUGUAGCAAUACAUGGCGUACUGCUCAGUAACACGUGGACAACCUACCCUUAGGUCGGGGAUAAACCCGGGAAACUGGGUAUAAUACCCGAUAGUCCUCGAAUGCUGGAAUGCAUCGAGGUCUAAAGCUCCGGCGCCUAAGGAUGGGUCUGCGGCCUAUCAGGUAGUAGUGGGUGUAGCGUACCUACUAGCCUACGACGGGUACGGGUUGUGAGAGCAAGAGCCCGGAGAUGGAUUCUGAGACACGAAUCCAGGCCCUACGGGGUGCAGCAGGCGCGAAAACUUUACAAUACUGGAAACAGCGAUAAGGGGACCUCGAGUGCCAGGUUACAAAUCUGGCUGUCGUGAUGCCUAAAAAGCAUUGCAUAGCAAGGGCCGGGCAAGACCGGUGCCAGCCGCCGCGGUAACACCGGCGGCUCGAGUGGUAACCGCUAUUAUUGGGUCUAAAGGGUCUGUAGCCGGCCGGAUAAGUCUUUUGGGAAAUCUGGCAGCUUAACUGUCAGGCUUUCAGAGGAUACUGUCUGGCUCGAGGCCGGGAGAGGUGAGAGGUACUUCAGGGGUAGGGGGAAAUCUUGUAAUCUGAAGGACCACCA